UCUUAUCAAGAGCGGUGGAGGGACUGGCCCUUUGAAACCCGACAACCGGCAUCAAUUUUUAGAUGUAUCGGUGUCAAUUCCUGCAAAGUGAA
This 92-nucleotide non-coding RNA is filed under the name uncultured Clostridium sp. RNAcentral's name for it is "SAM riboswitch (S box leader)". It matches the Rfam family "SAM riboswitch aptamer (S box leader)", at positions 2 to 89 of the family's 108-position model. Rfam says of the family: The SAM riboswitch is found upstream of a number of genes which code for proteins involved in methionine or cysteine biosynthesis in Gram-positive bacteria. The record is from RNAcentral. Lineage: Bacteria; Bacillati; Bacillota; Clostridia; Eubacteriales; Clostridiaceae.